GACGAACGCUGGCGGCGUGCCUAAUACAUGCAAGUAGAACGCUGAAGGAGGAGCUUGCUUCUCUGGAUGAGUUGCGAACGGGUGAGUAACGCGUAGGUAACCUGCCUGGUAGCGGGGGAUAACUAUUGGAAACGAUAGCUAAUACCGCAUAAUAGUAGAUGUUGCAUGACAUUUGCUUAAAAGGUGCAAUUGCAUCACUACCAGAUGGACCUGCGUUGUAUUAGCUAGUUGGUGGGGUAACGGCUCACCAAGGCGACGAUACAUAGCCGACCUGAGAGGGUGAUCGGCCACACUGGGACUGAGACACGGCCCAGACGCCUACGGGAGGCAGCAGUAGGGGAUCUUCGGCAAUGGACGGAAGUCUGACCGAGCAACGCCGCGUGAGUGAAGAAGGGUUUCGGAUCGUAAAGCUCUGUUGUAAGAGAAGAACGAGUGUGAGAGUGGAAAGUUCACACUGUGACGGUAGCUUACCAGAAAGGGACGGCUAACUACGUG
This 495-nucleotide ribosomal RNA is filed under the name uncultured bacterium. RNAcentral describes it as "partial 16S ribosomal RNA". It matches the Rfam family "Bacterial small subunit ribosomal RNA", at positions 28 to 507 of the family's 1533-position model. The record is from RNAcentral.